GGAGAGUUCGCCUAAUUGGUAGGGCAACAGUCUUGAAAAUUGUGGUGUUAGCGCACAUGAGAGUUCGAGUCUCUCACUCUCCG
RNAcentral lists this transfer RNA (83 nucleotides) under Acidobacteriota bacterium. RNAcentral's name for it is "Acidobacteria bacterium (activated sludge metagenome) tRNA-Ser". It matches the Rfam family "tRNA". From Rfam's summary of the family: Transfer RNA (tRNA) molecules are approximately 80 nucleotides in length. RNAcentral also lists the same sequence under 1 other name. The record is from RNAcentral. Lineage: Bacteria; Pseudomonadati; Acidobacteriota.